UCCAGACUCCUACGGGAGGCAGCAGUGGGGAAUAUUGCACAAUGGGGGAAACCCUGAUGCAGCGACGCCGCGUGAGUGAAGAAGUAUUUCGGUAUGUAAAGCUCUAUCAGCAGGGAAGAAAAUGACGGUACCUGACUAAGAAGCCCCGGCUAACUACGUGCCAGCAGCCGCGGUAAUACGUAGGGGGCAAGCGUUAUCCGGAUUUACUGGGUGUAAAGGGAGCGUAGACGGCAUGGCAAGUCAGAUGUGAAAGCCCGGGGCUCAACCCCGGGACUGCAUUUGAAACUGUCAGGCUGGAGUGCAGGAGAGGUAAGUGGAAUUCCUAGUGUAGCGGUGAAAUGCGUAGAUAUCAGGAGGAACACCGGUGGCGAAGGCGGCCUGCUGGACUGCAACUGACGUUGAGGCCCGAAAGCGUGGGGAGCAAACAGGAUUAGAUACCCGCGUA
RNAcentral lists this ribosomal RNA (445 nucleotides) under uncultured bacterium. RNAcentral's name for it is "bacterial SSU rRNA". It matches the Rfam family "Bacterial small subunit ribosomal RNA", at positions 330 to 792 of the family's 1533-position model. The record is from RNAcentral.